GGACACCCCCCGCCAUAUAACUAACUUCUAUACAAUACCAAAAGUGACUGGAUAUGACACGGAAAGCCCCGAAACAAACUGGAGCUCACCAAAAGCAGCUGGGUAUCCUGGCUCCUACUUGUGCGGUGUAUGAGCUGAGGUACCUGUGCCUGCAGCAUGAAAUGCAGGUCCCCCGUGGGGGACGUCAGUACGAAAUAUGUACUAAG
This 206-nucleotide long non-coding RNA is filed under the name Capsicum annuum. RNAcentral's name for it is "long non-coding RNA (CANN_LNC017487)". The record is from RNAcentral. Lineage: Eukaryota; Viridiplantae; Streptophyta; Magnoliopsida; Solanales; Solanaceae.